AACGAACGCUGGCGGCAUGCCUAACACAUGCAAGUCGAACGAGACCUCAGGGUCUAGUGGCGCACGGGUGCGUCAAGCGUGGGACCCUGCCCUUAGACUCGGAAUACCACCCCGAAAGGGGUGCUAAUACCGGAUAAUGUAUUCGAAUACCAUAUUCAACGUCUUUGGAGGAGCGCGCGUUGGACUAGCUAGUUGCUAGGGGAAAAGCCUACCAAGGCGACGAUACAUAGCUGGUCUGAGAGGAUGAGCAGCCACACUGGGACUGUGACACGGCGCAGACUACUACAGGAUGCAGCAGAGGGUAAUAUAGGACAAUCGGCGAAAUGCUGAACCAGCAAGGCCGCUAGAGUGAUGAAGGCCUGAGAGUUGUAAAGCUCUUUUACCCGGGAUGAUAAUGACAGUACCGGGAGAAUAAGCACCGGCUAACUCCGUG
This 433-nucleotide ribosomal RNA is filed under the name uncultured bacterium. RNAcentral describes it as "partial 16S ribosomal RNA". It matches the Rfam family "Bacterial small subunit ribosomal RNA", at positions 29 to 507 of the family's 1533-position model. The record is from RNAcentral.